This 253-nucleotide ribosomal RNA is filed under the name uncultured bacterium. RNAcentral describes it as "partial 16S ribosomal RNA". It matches the Rfam family "Bacterial small subunit ribosomal RNA", at positions 524 to 776 of the family's 1533-position model. The record is from RNAcentral.
UACGUAGGUGGCAAGCGUUGUCCGGAUUUACUGGGCGUAAAGAGCGCGCAGGCGGUCGACUAAGUCGAAUGUGAAAGCCCCCGGCUCAACUGGGGAGGGUCAUUCGAUACUGUUCGACUUGAAGGCAGGAGAGAGAAGCAGAAUUCCCGGUGUAGUGGUGAAAUGCGUAGAUAUCGGGAGGAAUACCAGUGGCGAAGGCGGCUUCUUGGCCUGUUCUUGACGCUGAGACGCGAAAGCGUGGGGAGCGAACAGG